This 96-nucleotide ribosomal RNA is filed under the name Caerostris extrusa. Lineage: Eukaryota; Metazoa; Arthropoda; Arachnida; Araneae; Araneidae. The record is from RNAcentral.
GAAAGAUACCGGUUCUCGUUAGAUCACCGAAGUCAAGCAUCAUUGGGCGCGGUCAGUACUUGGGUGGGUGACCACCUGGGAACACCGCGUGCCGUU